RNAcentral lists this ribosomal RNA (200 nucleotides) under uncultured eukaryote. Its description in RNAcentral is "partial 18S ribosomal RNA". It matches the Rfam family "Eukaryotic small subunit ribosomal RNA", at positions 588 to 795 of the family's 1831-position model. The record is from RNAcentral.
GCUCCAAUAGCGUAUAUUAAAGUUGUUGCGGUUAAAAAGCUCGUAGUUGGAUUUCUGUCGAAGACGGCCGGUCCGCUCUAUGAGCGUGUAUCUGGUUCGGCUUUGGCAUCCUCGUGGGGAACGUAACUGUGCUUAAUUGCAUGGUGCGGAAUUCACGACUUACUUUGAGGAAAUUAGAGUGUUCACGGCAGGCAAGCGCC